GAAAUGCGAUAAGUAGUGUGAAUUGCAGAAUUCAGUGAAUCAUCGAAUCUUUGAACGCACAUUGCGCCCUUUGGUAUUCCUUAGGGCAUGCCUGUUCGAGCGUCAUCUAAACCUUUAAGCCCUGCUUGGUGUUGGGUGCCUGUCCCGCCUCCGCGCGCGGACUCACCUCAAAUCCAUUGGCGGCCCCCGCGUCGGCCACGAGCGCAGCAGAAACGCGAACUCGUGAGCCCGUCCGGGCGGCUCCCAGAAGCUACACCCACCCAGUUUGACCUCGGAUCAGGUAGGGAUACCCGCUGAACUUAAGC
Molecule: unclassified non-coding RNA, 305 nt
Filed under: plant metagenome
Description: partial contains 5.8S ribosomal RNA, internal transcribed spacer 2, and large subunit ribosomal RNA
Rfam family: 5.8S ribosomal RNA (bases 1-105)
Source: RNAcentral